This 422-nucleotide ribosomal RNA is filed under the name uncultured bacterium. Its description in RNAcentral is "bacterial SSU rRNA". It matches the Rfam family "Bacterial small subunit ribosomal RNA", at positions 355 to 774 of the family's 1533-position model. The record is from RNAcentral.
UAAGGAAUAUUGGUCAAUGGAGGCAACUCUGAACCAGCCAUGCCGCGUGAAGGAUUAAGGCCCUCUGGGUUGUAAACUUCUUUUAUAUGGGAAGAAAUGUACUUUUUCUAAAGUGCUUGACGGUACCAUAGGAAUAAGCACCGGCUAACUCCGUGCCAGCAGCCGCGGUAAUACGGAGGGUGCAAGCGUUAUCCGGAUUUACUGGGUUUAAAGGGUGCGCAGGCGGAUGAAUAAGUCAGUGGUGAAAUCUCCGAGCUUAACUCGGAAACUGCCGUUGAUACUAUUUGUCUUGAAUAUUGUGGAGGUAAGCGGAAUAUGUCAUGUAGCGGUGAAAUGCUUAGAUAUGACAUAGAACACCAAUUGCGAAGGCAGCUUGCUACACAAUCAUUGACGCUGAGGCACGAAAGCGUGGGGAUCAAACA